This 468-nucleotide ribosomal RNA is filed under the name uncultured bacterium. RNAcentral describes it as "partial 16S ribosomal RNA". It matches the Rfam family "Bacterial small subunit ribosomal RNA", at positions 28 to 507 of the family's 1533-position model. The record is from RNAcentral.
GACGAACGCUGGCGGCGUGCUUAACACAUGCAAGUCGAACGGAAAGGCCCUGCUUUUUUGGGGUGCUCGAGUGGCGAACGGGUGAGUAACACGUGAGUAACCUGCCCUUGACUUUGGUAUAACUUCAGGAAACUGGGGCUAAUACCGGAUAGGAGCUCCUGCUGCAUGGUGGGGGUUGGAUAUUUUCGGCGGUUGGGGAUGGACUCGCGGCUUAUCAGCUUGUUGGUGGGGGAGUGGCUUACCCAGGCUUUGACGGGUAGCCGGCCUGAGAGGGUGACCGGCGACAUUGGGACUGAGAUACGGCCCAGACGCGUACGGGAGGCAGCAGUGGGGAAUAUUACACAAUGGGCGGAAGCCUGAUGCAGCAACGCCGCGUGCGGGAUGACGGCCUUCGGGUUGUAAAACGCUUUAGCCUGUGACGAAGCGUGAGUGACGGUAAUGGGUAAAGAAGCACCGGCUAACUACGUG